RNAcentral lists this ribosomal RNA (379 nucleotides) under uncultured bacterium. RNAcentral's name for it is "bacterial SSU rRNA". It matches the Rfam family "Bacterial small subunit ribosomal RNA", at positions 790 to 1167 of the family's 1533-position model. The record is from RNAcentral.
GUAGUCCAUGCCGUAAACGUUGGGCACUAGGUGUGGGGGACAUUCCACGUUUUCCGCGCCGUAGCUAACGCAUUAAGUGCCCCGCCUGGGGAGUACGGCCGCAAGGCUAAAACUCAAAGGAAUUGACGGGGGCCCGCACAAGCGGCGGAGCAUGCGGAUUAAUUCGAUGCAACGCGAAGAACCUUACCAAGGCUUGACAUGAACCGGUAAGACCUGGAAACAGGUCCCCCGCUUGCGGUCGGUUUACAGGUGGUGCAUGGUUGUCGUCAGCUCGUGUCGUGAGAUGUUGGGUUAAGUCCCGCAACGAGCGCAACCCUCGUUCUAUGUUGCCAGCACGUGAUGGUGGGGACUCAUAGGAGACUGCCGGGGUCAACUCGGA